GGAAGCCGGUGGGAAUCCGGCACAGUCGCGCUACUGUGACAGCUCCUCCGCGGUCGACCACGGUCGGUCCGGGCGAGCUGGAGUCAGAC
This 89-nucleotide non-coding RNA is filed under the name Nocardioides sp. The record is from RNAcentral. Lineage: Bacteria; Bacillati; Actinomycetota; Actinomycetes; Propionibacteriales; Nocardioidaceae.